GCGUCGGGUGUCCGCGCCGAGCGCACGCACGCCCUGUUACCGCCAGUUCGAAUCGUGCUUAAAUUCUAUAACUUGUUGUGUAAACUAAUCCUGGCAUGUUUCCCCUUGUCACCCUUUGACCAUUUCCAAGUUUUAAGUGAAUCGAGUGAUUGGUGAAAACUUUGGUGGAAUGAAAUGUUGAUAAACAGUUUUUAUUGGCUUGUACAACUUAUGUUAUGAUGGACACCAUUGGAACAAUUUAUUAAUUGUGUUUUCUAAAAGAUUCAACAUGUAUGGGACGUCAACGGCGUCGACGACGUCGGGCUCCCGCGGGGCGAGCGUGGCCGUGGACCGGCGCAUGCGCGUGGUGCGCCUGAUGCGUGCGCGCCGUGCCGCGCCCGCCUUUGGUUUCUCGCUGCGCGGGGGCCGGGAGUACGCCACGGGUUUCUUCGUCUCCAAAGUGGAAUUCAACUCCGAAGCUCACCUGCAAGGACUCAAGGUGGGCGACCAACUGGUGAGCGUGAACGGCUACCGGGUGGACGAUGCCGUGCACGGCGAGCUGGUCCACUACCUCGCGUCACAGUCACGCCUCAAGAUCAAAGUCAGACAUGUGGGAAUGGUACCAAUAAAAGACAAAGCCCAUGAGUCGCUGUCGUGGCAGUACGUGUCAGACCGCGCGUCGCUGGGCUCCGACGUGUCGUCGUCGCCGACGCUGUGCCACGACACGGAGCGUAUGGCCGACCUGCGACUGUCUAUCCUGGUUCCGCCGAGGGCCAAACUGGGUUGCGGGAUCUGCAAGGGGCCCGAGUGGAAGCCUGGCAUCUUCGUUCAGUUUGUGCGCGAGAAUGGGAUCGCGCGAGAGGCGGGCUUGAGGCCGGGGGACCAGAUACUGGCGUGCAAUGGACAGGAUUUUGCCAACGUUUCUUUUAAUGAUGCUAUAUCAGCCAUGAAAGCAUCGGGCCGGCUGGAGCUGCUUAUCCGCGAAGGAGCCGGCACCGAGCUGGUGUCCCCGGAGAGUUCUGGCUACAACAGCUCAGCGUCAUCGGCCGCAGGGGAGCGGAGUCCCGCGCCGGUCGCUCACGUCCCCCUGGCGCCACCGGCGGCGUUGAGACGGCGGCUCGCCAGUGUGGCGGAGGAGGCUGCCGAUCGCGCUGACAGACUGAAUAUGAAUCGAAUGAAGCGGCGGACAUGGGAUAGUUUAGAUUUCGACUGGAAGAACAUGGACAUUCACAACUUCGACGCACCAUCAGACAUAGAACCUGAUUACGAUUGCCCUAGUAUACCAAAUAAUCCCCACACAUACGAAAAUAAAAGUAACAUUAGGAAAAAUAAUAUUAAUAAGAAAGAAAUAAUUAGCAGCCCAUCAAAUAGAACUAUAAUUAAUUUAACUGAAGACGGUGCCACAAUACAAUGUAGUUACGAAAAUCAAUCUCCUAGGAAAAGUACAUUUUCUGCUAAUCAGUCGAAUAGGGAUAAUGACAAAAAAACCAUAGUGGUCGAGGUGCAUCACACGAGCGCGCCGGCUUGUGGCAAACCACAUUGCAACUACCCGCCUCCAAUGAAGAAAGACCUUAGCUCUGACACUACAAGCAUUUCUAGUUGUGGGACGCUAUCGAGUGCUAUCGCCGAAGAAAUACAGAAAAGGAAAUUGAACAAGAAGAACUCGAAUCCAGACAACAGCCUACCUUUAAGUCUUAUAAAGAAGGCGAGCUUACCGUUACCGACCGACGACAAGAAGAAGCAGCAUGAUGCUCUGAUGGACGAGUUCAAGAAGGUUCACCGGAAGAUGUUCUCGGGACAGGACCCCGGCGAAGCAGUGGAGGCUGAGAACAACGAUGUUGACAGUUUGGAUCGCCAGCAAACGCUACCGCUGAGGAAGAUAGAAGCUCAAUCGGAAAUAUUAACAAACGGACACCAGCAGGCGAAACGAGAAGUUACCAACGGAAAUACGCAGCAAAUACGCGAAACUUACAACGGGCACGUUCAACAAAAACGCGAUACAGCGAACGGGCAAUUAAGCGAAGCUUUGAACGGGCACAUUGUACAAAAACGCGAAGAAUUCAAUGGGUUUCAGCAAAAGCGGGAAUUCGCGAAUGGACAACCGCAUUCUAAUGGGCAUGUGCAGCAAAAACGAGAAGCCGCGGACAACCCUCCUCCACCACCGCCGAUGCCAGCGGUGAAUGGUCAACAGAACGGAGAACAUAAAAAACUAGACAUAUCGAAAUCGUAUCCAAAAACACUUAACACAGAUCUGGUUAACUCUUUGAACCAAAGAAAUGGUUCGUUGGCACGAACGCCGACGCCCGACUACAAUAACAAGACAGACUUUAAGACACAAUUUAAAUUGAAGAGCGUGAAAGAUGACAAGGCCGAGCUGGACUCGCUAGAGUCGUAUACAUUAAAGAAUCCCGCUAACGUGCAACCAAAGCCGCCAUCGAAUUAUUUUGUGAAAGCGCCGAACGGGACAGCUACGAUGAAGAAACACCUGAGGCCGGUGUCUGUCACGAUAGGAGAGUACGCGGGAGGCGGGAACAGCCGGCGCGAACCUUCCAAGCUGGAGUUCCUCAAUGGUGACAAACCAGAUGGGCCCGUGCCGGCAGACGAUGAUGAACAUAUUUCCAAUAGACUUCAGUCCGAGUUAGCGCUCACACUUUCUAGGUCCAAUUUACGCAAAAAGACUGACGCAUUGGGUUAUCAGAUAGGUCCAGAUAUCCAGAGAGUAGAUAACAACGAAGAUAGUGAUUGGUCUAUUGACAAAAAUUUUCACGCCAGAUAUGGAAACAAUCUAUUGCCUCUACCACCGAGCAUAACAAUACCCAAAGUAUCAAAAGUAAAGCAUUGAGAGGCGUUACAAAUAUCUUCAAAUUUUGUUCUUGCGUCAUUAUCCAUUGUCUUUUACACAAUGGUGAUUUAUUUAUAUGCCAACGCAGGUCGAUGAUUUGAAGAUCACUGUUAUUUGUGAUUUUACAAUUAGUUUAAUUUGUGUGUAUUAUGUCACAUAAUUUUUAAUACAGAAAAGUAUGUAUAAUUGUCUUAAUAUUUGUAAAUAAAAUAAUAUGUUUUAAUACUAACUUAAUAAUUCAAAAGUUUCGAAGAUGAAAUUGCCAUUAACUGUUUUAAAAAAGCGUAUUUAAUAAAUCAAGUUAAUUUAAUUUAUUGCUGCUUUAGAAUAUGCAUAGACACUGAACAGUGCAUUGCCAAAGUUAUUCUCACAAUAGUUUGAAGUCAAUCUAAAACUGUAUGGAUACAGACUAGGUUCAGUCAAUGUUAUAUGUAUAGCUAUUUGUUUUACAAGGGGCAAAGUUGUUGCCUUGAAACCCUCGCAACGCCUAGAUUACAUUUUUCGAAACACUCGCUAACUUGUCACUUUUCAUAUCGAGCGCUAGACAGGCACCUAUAUCAUUGUGUAACUUUUUAAUUUAGGUUCCUAAGAAUUUUCUUUUCUAUUGAUAAAAAAAUUUGCUCAUGUAAAGUAUGUAAUGUAUUUGUAUGUAAAGUAGGUAACUUUAGGUCGGUCUUUGGUAUAAUAUGUAAGACACUACUAUACCUACCUACUUUUUAAUUGUGAAAUGUUUAUUUAAAAUAUAUGUCCAGCUUAGUAGAGGUGUACCUAAGUAUGUGUGUCUACUUGUCUAGUUUAAAUAAUCGUCAAAUGUUUUAGUGCGAAUUUACUGUCUAAUUUUACGAACUAC
Cydia splendana is the source of this 3671-nucleotide RNA transcript. RefSeq lists it as uncharacterized. Lineage: Eukaryota; Metazoa; Arthropoda; Insecta; Lepidoptera; Tortricidae. The record is from RefSeq and is a predicted model, not a curated record. The transcript has 13 exons.